UACGUAGGUGGCAAGCGUUGUCCGGAAUUAUUGGGCGUAAAGGGCUCGUAGGCGGUUUGUCGCGUCGGGAGUGAAAACUCAGGGCUUAACCCUGAGCCUGCUUCCGAUACGGGCAGACUAGAGGUAUGCAGGGGAGAACGGAAUUCCCGGUGUAGCGGUGAAAUGCGCAGAUAUCAGGAGGAACACCAGUGGCGAAGGCGGUUCUCUGGGCAUUACCUGACGCUGAGGAGCGAAAGUGUGGGGAGCGAACAGG
Molecule: ribosomal RNA, 253 nt
Filed under: uncultured bacterium
Lineage: Bacteria
Description: partial 16S ribosomal RNA
Rfam family: Bacterial small subunit ribosomal RNA
Source: RNAcentral